Molecule: microRNA precursor, 96 nt
Organism: Naja naja (Indian cobra)
Lineage: Eukaryota; Metazoa; Chordata; Lepidosauria; Squamata; Elapidae
Product: microRNA 449a
Source: Ensembl
UGUGUGUGUAGUGGAAUGGCAGUGUACUGUUAGCUGGAUGGAUAUCCAGAUGGCACCAGCUGACAUUCAGCUGCCAGCCUACGGCACAUAUUUUGG